UACAGUCAUAUCGCGUUGAAACACCGGUUCUCGUUAUAUCACCGAAGUUAAGCAACGCCUGGUCAGUAUUUAGAUGGGUGACCGCUUGGGAAUACUAGGUGCUGAC
Non-coding RNA from Acanthosepion pharaonis, 106 nucleotides. Lineage: Eukaryota; Metazoa; Mollusca; Cephalopoda; Sepiida; Sepiidae. The record is from the annotation of a GenBank genome assembly.